Molecule: long non-coding RNA, 9722 nt
Organism: Ictalurus punctatus (channel catfish)
Lineage: Eukaryota; Metazoa; Chordata; Actinopteri; Siluriformes; Ictaluridae
Source: Ensembl
GGGGGGGGGGGGGGGGGGGGGGGGAGACAGAUAUUAACCACAAGUGUACCUCUUUCUCCUUAAUCUAUACUACGCACUUCCAAAUGGUUCAUCCGCAUCUUUGCGUUCGUAUCCUCCCCCGGCUUCAAUGUCCAAAAAAAGGGGCAAUUUCAUAUCCAGAAAAGCAGGAGGAUCAGGGUCAAAGUUCAAAAAAAAAAAAAAAAAAAAAAAAAAAAAAAAGAAAAAAAAAAGGUUUUCCCACAGGACAGGAUAAACCAUUACAAACCAGACAGGGGGGAAUAUCAGACAGACGUCCCUGUAAUGCGAAACAGCCAUAAUGUGGUGCCACCAUCGGGACGAACCAAGUGCACAAUGCACGGGGGGGUGUCAGAGGCAGAGAAAAAUACAGUCGAUCGAUACUCGUUGCAUUUACUUAACCGUGGUUAUUUAUUGACAUAAUCCCAAGAAUGUCGGCAGAUGUGAUGGACUAUCAUAUAAAAUUUUUAAUUUGCCUUAUUACUAAUAUGCACUUAAAAAAAAAGAAAAGAAAAAAAAAAAAAAAGGAAUGGAGCCUACAUUUUACUGCAGUCAAGUGCACACGUCCGGCACGUCUGAUCCGGGGCGCUCCUGGUGAAAAUGAAAUGUCAAACAUUAUUUUUAAAUGCCUUGUUAAUCUUCAAUGAAAGCCUGCAAGACCGGAUAUAAGCGCUUGAGGAACGUUACAUAUCCGUGUCUUAUUCUAGAGGGCUCGUUAGGGAGGAAGUGUUAUUUUGGUCUCAAAGCCAAAUAAGAUUUGCAGCAGGGAGCUUCAUCACCGCAAAUUUAAUAUUGCCUCAAGCAAGGUAAGAGCAGUAGGCAGGGUAAAGGAGUAAGAGUUUUUGCGUUGUGAUGGUUAUUCCGAUUGUACGGGCGGGGAAAACUAUCCUUCUGCGAGCCCUGAACAUGAGAGCAUGAUCUGCUUCGGUCGCUCUAACAAAACACAGAGGGGGGAGAAAGAAAAAAAAAAGGGAAGGGUUGCUGGAGGAGUUGCUAAAAUGUGUAUUUAGGACUACACGUCUAUUUUAUUUUUUAGACGGAAACAAAUGAAAGAACUUGCACAUGCGGUUCUUUUUGGACGCGAUUUAGUAAAAAGCUUCCCGCGCCCUCAUUUUCUGGGUUAAAGCUCUGUGGGGAGAGAAGAAAGCAAGGUGGAGGGCAAGGUACAUCUUUGAAAAAGAGCUCUUCAGUUUCCCAAUGGAAAAAAGCCAAAGCCUUCUACCUUUCCUUAAAUGCUUGCAGGGGUUUGCCAGGCAACGAGCCAAGAAAAUGACUUUGACCCGACUGCCAAUCAAUUCGGGCAGCGCGGGGCCAAGACUAAACAGGCACUUUUUCGGCGAGUCUCAUUGGCUACAGCCGCCUCCUGCGGGCGGGGACGAGCACAGAAACGGGGCUGUUGACAAGGGAGAAGGGAAGGAGAGAGCUGGUGCACGACGCAUAUUGAAAACACGUGGCCAAUAGGAGCGCAGGUGAUUAGUUGGCCAAAUUACUCCGUUAAAUGCGUCGUUAAAACAACAGUCGACGUCGUGAGUUAAUCGGACGCCGGCGGAGGAAGCCACUGCCACUCCGCUGCAUUCCUGUCAGUUCCAUACAAAGAAAUCUUCACCUCGCUGUGUGUUGCUAGGCAGAUUGUGCUUCCUAGUCAAAAAGUCUAGAUAUUUUUUUUUUUUUUUAAAAAUACACAAACGAUGAACCAAAAAUCUUUCUGUAUGUUUAACCCCAAAAUUCCCUGUCUGGUGACAACCCGCGUUAUUCGUGGGCUCCAUUAGUGGUGAGAAAUCAGUCCAUUAAAAGAGAAGUCCUUGAUAACAAUGUCACAGCAUGAGUAGUGCUAAUUUAAUUAAUGUCGACUUUGAGAAAGGAAGGCAUCUCUUUGAGGGGCUCAGCCGACCCGAGGUCUCUCUUAAGCCCAGUUCAAUAGAACAAGACAUGACUUUGAGUCUUUUCCUCCUUUUUUUUUUUUUUUUUUUUUUUGCAGGGUCAGGAAUAUAACACACAUUCAAUUAAAACUGGAGGCUUAAUAAGUUUCUGAAUAAGAUGCAUUGAUUACCUGGAUUAAAUACUGCUCAGCUCGAGCAACUUCUUCAUCUAACAGUAGAAAACCAAUCGAUGCAUUAUGAAUCUCAAGCAUCUGACUCUGGCGAGCGUAAACGCAACCUCUUCUGCGUGACUCCAUAAACACCCUUGAAAUCGAUUAAAAAAUACAAAUAAAAACGCCAUUCAACAUGGACCGUUAGAGCGUCGCCCUAAUUGACCAGAGCGGUUAAGAUCAAUUUGAAUAAUGCUGAGACUUUAAUUACUAGUGCUUUAUUCGUGGGGGGUCAUAAUGCGAAUCUUUGCGAAGGGCACUGUGUUAUCAAGAAUAACGAUACGGAGAAAUAAUAAAACGCAAACAAAUGUGCGGUAAUUAAUUAACGAUCGUACUCGGCAGGGCUGGAAUCAAAUCACGCUGUCGGUAAUGUCUCUUCCGAUGGAAUUAAAACUCAACGCAAAAUGAUUUCUUUACACAAUAAAUAAAUAAAUAAAUACAUAGGAGUUCCACGGUCGUGAUAAAAUCGCCGUUUUACCCAUUUCUAACGUCGACGACUCUUGAGCAGCUUUCCUCAUUCGUCACACUGCGUAGUCGUGUUUCCUCGAGUAAUCCUCAGUACGGCAUCUCCUUGUCGUCUUCGGACAAGCGGAAAGAAAUUCCGAAAUGCCGCUAUGAUUAAGUAGAGGCGUUCGAUAAACGUCAUUCGUGAACUAGUGAACAUACCGACACCCGAGUUUCUAUAUGAAACAUCAGUAGCUUGUGUGUUAAAUCUUAGCCAUAUCAAUGCUCACUCCCAUGUCAUGUGAGUGAACUAGGCCUUGAAAUGUAAAGUAUAUAAAAACAUGAGCUUAAUAAAGACAAGGUCAUAUAAACAUACAGCCCACAGACUAUUUAUACUAUUUGUAUCAUACGUUACUGCUAUUAUCCGUGAUUAUUAUGAGGACUUGCACAUUACUGCGAUUCUCCGUCAUAUUAGAGUUAUUUACAACAGACUACUCUGCACAUCUAUAUUUACUGUAAUCCACUGUAUGUACCUACUGUCUCAUAUUUCACAUCUGUGUACUGCUUAUCUCAACCUACUGCACCUCAAUUCCUAAAUAAAUAGGAAUUUAACCUAACUGCUAUUUGCAUCACUGGUAUGCAUCAUUCUGUUUACCUUGACCCGUACACUGUUUUCUUAACUUAUCGCACCCUAACCUUAUUUAUUUCAUCUAACUCAUUUACUAUUUGCGCAACAAUAAAGGCGAACCUAACCUAACCUCACCUAUUUACAUCGAAUUCAUGGCCUGCUUCUUUCCGCUGCCCGUUUAAGUACCCUAAUUUAAAAUUCCCCAUGCCGAAACCGCAUCCCUCUACCGCUACGGCGAACGGAAUUAAGUAUAAAAAAAAAAAAAACCCGUUGGCAUUUUCCACCGCCUGAGAUGUUGUCGACUCAGCAAAAUGCUCGGAGAACCACAGCGGGAACGAUACACAAAGGCGUAAUUAUAAUUCUCCUCUGUGCUAUGCAGGAAAUUUACAGAACCAAAAUUGCUUUGCAUUUAUAGAACAGGAAAACGAUGACCUCCUCUCGGCCUGAGAAAGAUGUAAACAGUCUAGGUAGCGAUUAUAUGCACGGAUUAGUAGUGUUUUAUGAAGACGGGGAAGAAGAAAAAAAAAAAAAAGAAAAACAGCCCAGGUGAAAGGACACUGUUGAUCACAGAGCAACAGUGAGAAAAUCCUGCGCAUGACAUCCUGUGCUGGUUGUUAACGAAAAUGCACAGACGAUUCACGACGACACUUCAAUCCACCUUCAUAUUUACUCAGAUUACACCCUGGCGGUAUGUAGUUCUGGUCGAUUAUGAUGCACACGACACUGUGUCAUGGAUGUUUGGGUAAAGUUGGUAUCUGAGUAACGUACAGGAAAAUAUGAGCAGGACUGGUACAAAAGGUUUGGUUUGGUUACUCCUUAAGAGUAAACAUAUCCGGAUUUGCAUUUAUUUAAAAAAACAAAAAACAAAAAAAAAGUACUGCUGAAAUGCUAAAAAAAAAAAUGCCAAAGGAGAAAAAAAACAAAACAAGACAGAAGUUCUUAAUUUCUUAAUUUACGUUAUGUUCUCAAGACCGCGAUGAGAAUGUUUGCUUUUCGUCAUCCUUCGAGUUCAUACUGGGGCAUAAUCGAAACUUUAUGUUUGUCCAGCAUACGGUGAAAUGUGCUUUUGGUCCAACAUGUAGUGCGCCCACCAGAGCUCUGUAGCGUAAGCAAAGUAAACAGGUUUAAAAAAGCAUGCCUGUAAUGGCAUUACCACUGGGUCCCCCUGCUGUGUUACAUGUUCUCAGCCUCUUUUGUUUGGUGUUAACCCAUUAAAUCCCACAUAAGAGGCCAUUGAGACGAGUGUCGUGUACCCUGGGGGGCCACUUUGUUUGGAACAAAGACCUUAAAUGGGUUACACACCACUGCAACUGAUCCUCCCCGGUUGUUUCCUUGGGUUUGUAUUAUUCUUAGACCGUGCUCCUAAACAAAACAUUAAAGGUGAAGUAUGUAAUGUCAAGUGACAUUACUCUACUUCUCAAACUAGCUAGCAGUAGCAAGAGCUCUGCCUUGGAACUUUCCAGACCUUUUCAGUGUAUUACAAUUUACAACCCAAUUCCAAACAAUACUUAUAAAAAUAAAUAAAUAAAUAAAUAAAUUUACACUUUGAAUCUUGACCUCUGUUAAUGUCAUGAAUUGCCGGAGGGAGUUCUGGACUUCCCAGAUUCCCAGCAGCCACUGCACGGCUGCAACACGGUCACAUGACCACCUACACCUGAUCCGUAUUCCUGUUAACUAGCACUUGUGUGUAUAUAGUCACUGUUUGCACCGCGCUCCUCGUCUUGCUUUGUUUGUCCUCGAGAUCGUGCGCUCUCGCCUCGUGCGUCUUGUCCUGUUAUGUUUGGUCCUCGUCUCUAUUAAAACCUUCGAUCUGCACGUGCGUCCGUCUCCGCCUCUCCAGGUAGACUUGACCAUCUGACACUUUUUGCACUUUAGCUUAUUGUAAAACCAUGCUGGAACUCUCCUCCAGUGCAACUUUGAAGACAGACAAUACUGACCAUGUUUUCAGAACUGAACCAGAAUCUGGGAAGGCUGGUGUACUGGUUGCACACGAUCAGACAGCCACGUGGCAUUUGUCUCUACAUGCUAUGGACACUCUUUGAGAAUCUGAACAUUUCCUGCCAAGAGACGCCUUUACGUUAAAUCAACCUCUGGGUCCUGUAACAGAGACGAUGUUUUAGCUAUGAUAAUUGUCAAAUAGAAUUAGACGUGAACAGCUGGCAGAGAAGAGUCAUUAUGGGAGAACGGCUAUACAACCUACGCAAGGUAAACACGACGCUGGUGUAAUUACUGCACGUCUGUCCUCAAUGAUGAAUGAUGGCUGGCCUUGAAACCGAUGGCAAAUUACCAUUUUAAAAAUAGCCCGUGACGUGAACGGGUCAGCGAAGCCGUGACUCGAACAGCCUCUGUGUAUAUUUAUAUAGGAACGGACACACCGAGGGCUAAUGAGGCCCAGUAACCCAAUUAGUACCUCGUCCUGAUCCUGCUCCAAACUAGACCUCCAUCUCCAGCGACCGGAGUCGAUCCCAAAAGGUGGUACAGAGCUCAACCCUUCCAAGCCGCCAAACACGAGGCUCUCUAAACAGAGGCCUUCGGCUAACCGGACCCGCUCCGGCCUAAUGAGACUAGGACUAUGAGAAAGACUACCACAAGAAUGCUGUGUUUUCAAGAAACGAUAAAAAUUACUGAAUUCGUUUUGCAAACAAAUCCAGCGGUUUAAAUCUCGUACCUGGCUUCCGAGCACAACUCUGGGGAAGCUUCGUGGACAUUGCAGAAAUACGUCACAUUCACACAGCAAGUCGAGCACUAUAUCAUUAAACGCCAUUGUAUGGGCAAGCUAAUGUUUGCGUUUGAUCUCGCGGCCCAGCUGGAGUGCUCUUGACUCUAACCAGUGGCACUCUUAAACAGAGAUCAGACGAACGCCUCUGCUUUUCAGAUAGUUUAUGAAACAUGAGGGACUCUGUCAGAGCACACAAAGACAAGUUUCCUCUCGUGGUUCCGCUAACAAAGUCCCCCCUGUCCUCACCUUAAAUCCCUUUUGGCACAAAUUCCUGACUCCUUGCCAGGAUCGUCUUCUCACAUAAGGAAAAAGAAAAAAAAAAAAAAAACCCAACCAACAAUGGAAGAGUAGCGCCAAAAGCACAUCGCUCGAGUCUAUGAGCUCCUGUUUUACUGCCUCUUCGAUAAAAGACGCCAAAGUCAGACGACGACGAAUCAACAGAUGCCUUUUUCAGCCCCAUUACCCCGGACCACAACAAACACCUAAUGACACCGCCACCGGGGACGUUCACGGAGGUGCGGUUAUCGCUUACACUUAGCCGGAUUUACUCGUGUUUUUAAAUAUUUAAAAUGUUUUGAUGAUUAAAUAUUAAUCUGCACUUUCUUUUUAAUCUUAUUUCUGCUUAGCAUGUAGAUUCACACAGAGUGUGAAUAUAACCGAAGCUCAUAUCAGGACAAAAAUGUCAUUAUAAUGAAAUAUAACGUGCGUCAUUAAUUCUUUUAAUUUUAAGGUAAAAGUUUAAAAAAAAAAGAAAAAAAAAGAAAAGAAAAGAAAAAAAAAACUUAUUAAAAUGACUCACUAGGCAUAUUUAUUCAUUUUUUAAAAAUGUUAUUCAACUAAUCUGAAAUAAAUUUACUGUAGAACCACUCUUUUUGUCGCAUUCUGUGGGGUUUAAAAAAAAAAAAAAAAAUUUGUAAAGAAAUAAUCAGAGAAUGUCCUUAAAUAAAAAAAAAGGCUUCUGUCAUUUAUUUUCCAAGCAUCCGUUCUCAAAGGGUGGUUUUUCUAGGAUACUUCUUUGUGUCCUACAAAAUUGAAGUAGUGUGUUUGUGGCCGUCCAGUCCACAGUUAAUUUUGUGCAGACUUCAGAAAGAAAGAAAGAAAGAAAGAAAAAAAAAAAAAGUAGUUUCAAGACUUUUUAUUUAUUUAUUUAUUUAUUAUUUCUUACGUAUAAGAUUCAUAAUGAAACACAGUCAUUAAUUGUUGGGGGAAAAAAAUAAUACAUGAAAAAAUAGGAAUAAAAUAAAAGUCUAAAAAAAAAAGAAUCCUAUCUAAAAAAUUUUUAUAAGUAUAUAUAAUAUAUAAAUUGUCUAAAAUACCGCUGGUUGUCGGAUUUAGGUUAAUUGCAUUUUUAAAAAAUAAAACCAGAAGUAGAAACAUUUAAUGUAAGUGAAAUCUACAAUGUUUAACGGUAUAUUCUUUUACACUGGAGUUCAAAGAAAAUGGGAAACUAUGGAGGGGGAGGGAGCUUGCUAGAAUUCUCAAGGACAAGCAAACAAUUUCUUUGGAUAAGAAGAAGAAUAUAAUCAAAACAAAUCCAGAAAUAACUUCAACCAUUGCCUUCCCUGUCCUCCUGCUUUUAAGCUCCACAUUCAAAAACCCACCAUUCCAGCCGCAUGAGCUAAAUGCGAGUAAUGUCCUGAGAUCUGCCCUGUGUUGCGGCUCUUUUCCUCUUUGUGCACUGCACCGAGGUUCAUUUCAGCUCCGUAUUAAUCCUGCCGCUGCUCGGCGAGCAGGUGAACUCAGCCGAAGGCUUUCCCACGAUCCGGGAGCAAAUCCGCUGCCCUGAGCCCUUCCUAAAAGACGGCCAUCUGUCCGCUCUGCUUUCACUCUGGGAGGGCAAGCGUCAGCUGCAUGACCAAAUUCAACGUUCCAACACUUCCCCCACAGUCACAACCCCCUGAACCUUAAACGCACGCUGUCCACAAGUCAUGAGAAGCCAGGCGUUAAAGACGUUUGCUCUUCGUUCGUUUUUUUUUGUUGUUUUUUUUUAAAAAGAAGGACGUAAUAUGAAACCUUAAAAAAAAAAAAAAAAAAGUCUCACAGCAACAAACGACUGUAUAAAAAGCGACAGUAUUUUUAAAGCGUUGAACUAACUAAACAUCAUGAAGAGAAAAAAAAAAAGGAUACCACUUUCUAAAACAAACAAUAUAAUCACUAUGCUUUCAUUUCUAAUUCAUCUUUUCCAAAAAAAUAAGAGAUGCCAAACAACCUAUGCGAUCCAAAACACAGAAACCCACGGCCAUACACAAAUAAAUACACUCUCGCAGACGGACAAAUCUUCCUCCGCGGAUAAUAUCUUCUUCUAAAAUAAGAAACUGGUAUCACCGAGAUCAUGUGACACACUCUACCUCUGUACCUCCUCCCUCUUUUUUUUUCUUCCCCCCUCUCCGAAUCUUCCAUGUGCUAUCAUUUUUGUUUUGCUCUCAAAAAGCUGGCACGCUGUUUGAGGAGUAUGUCCUGGACCGUCCUCGUCCGCUUAAAAUGCGUGACAUUGCCUCGGCGGGAGCAUGAGAACCAGAGGCUCCUCAAUAGCGAGGUCUCCAUGCUCUGGCCCGUAACCAUGGAAGCAGAUGCCUCCUCUUACCUCCCGGUGGCCACGGGGCUGCACACCGAUUCAAAAAGCGGGUCCCGCCUCGAUUUCUCUUCAUCCCCUAGCGAACUUGUCUGCUCUUCAAUAGGGGCAAGUCACCGAGCAGGUCAUUGGUCUAGACUUCGUUUGCACGGUCCAGGGAGCAGCCUUGAUGUAACCCUUGCUCUCCGGCUGCAGGCGUGAGACUGCGGACUGCGGGACGUCAGAGACGCCGAAUUGAAAAGGAGCCCUGUCUGAUUUCGCCAUUGUGCCUUUUCAUUCAUCGAUCGAAUGAAUAUCGAACCUUCUGUUGGUGCAUGUGUGAAACAGAUAGCUUAGCAAGCAUUUUUUUUUUUUUCCCUCCCACCUCCUCCUUCUCCGGUAAGGACCAGCCAAGUGGCCUGCUCCUGUUCCUAUUCCCCAUUUAAUUAAUUACAUAAACUUUUCUUUAAAAAAAAUAAAAAUAAAUCUAACUGUAUAAGUUUUCUCGUGACACUUAAUCGAACUUUUUUUUCCUUACUUUUAAAACAUAAGUACGUAUUCAAUUACUGUUGCUGGUCAUCUUAUGACUUGGAACUCAUUUUUCACUUGCUUCCUACAGAAGAUUUCAUUACUGUUAUUAAUAACCUCUAUUUUAAAAAAUAACCGCACGUUAUUACCGAACACGUCCGGGAGUUUAUCCGACACGAAAUUAAAACCAUGAAUCGAAAUACGGCAUCUCAUGAAUACCGUAGACUUUUCACCUUCAAAUUCUUGUUCCAACAUCCUAAUUUCCAUUUUUAGAAAACAAACAAAAAAAAAAAAACAACAGUCGGAUUAUAACGCGUUUGAAAGGUUUUAACCGACAUAUUAUAUAAGGAGAACAUGUUGAUGUUAAAAAUAUAUACUAAAAUAAGUAAUAAGUGGUAAAAUAUCAUAAAUAAGUGUGCACAAGAUGUUAAAAUGUGACUCCUGUAAUCUUGUUGCUUUAAAAAUUUAGGUUUUUUUUUUUUUUUUAACAAAAAACAAAUUAAAAGUCAGUGAAGGCAAAAGAUAUCAUGUGAUAUUGCCCUGAGGGACACUUCCUAGUUUAAAUAUAAAGACACACACACAUAGAUUUGUAUAUUAAAACUAUUUUACAGCUGUAGAUUAAUCUGUACUGUAGAAGCUCAUAAUGUAAAAUUACUCCCGAGUAUUUUAUUUAAAUUUGUAAUACUUGUUUAAUUUUAAAACUUCAAUAUUCUACAGCAUUAGCAUUCAUCUAUAUAUAUAUAUAUAU